UUUUUAUGUGUCACAGGUUCAGCUCAAGCAAAGGUACUGCUAGUUACUCUUUGGUUUAUAGCCGGGUCAAACUCAGCUUGCAACUAUUUUCGAAUACUAUCUGAUUGAUAGUUUUAUUGUCAUUUCAGAUUUAUGACCGUGAUGGACUGACUCAGCUUUUUAUUCUUCAAUUUUUUUUUGAUUCCCAAUUCAAGGUUUGUAUUCUUACUGUUUUUUUUGUUAAAAAUUGUUGUGAUCUUGUGAUGGCAUCUACUAGUGGAGAUGUACUGGAUGGUCCUUCAAUUCUUGAUACAUUUCGGUAAGAGAACUCUGAC
This 314-nucleotide long non-coding RNA is filed under the name Panax ginseng (ginseng). RNAcentral describes it as "long non-coding RNA (PGIN_LNC017888)". The record is from RNAcentral. Lineage: Eukaryota; Viridiplantae; Streptophyta; Magnoliopsida; Apiales; Araliaceae.